Non-coding RNA from Paramuricea clavata, 375 nucleotides. The record is from the annotation of a GenBank genome assembly. Lineage: Eukaryota; Metazoa; Cnidaria; Anthozoa; Malacalcyonacea; Plexauridae.
GUGCUUUCUCUCCCCCCCCGGUUUUGUCAAAAUCUCUCGUACUUUGUUUACUUUUCUCGACCAAUCAGAUUCGUCUGUCGCCGCCAUUGUGGGUAUGUACUUACAUCCCGCAUAUAUUCACGAAUAUUUCGGUAAGUUUACGAAACUUUUGCACGUUUUUUCCAGUGCUUUCCUUGAGAUUCCACACUAAUUUUAUGAUAUUAAUAUAGUUUGAUUAUUCAACUUAAACCUACGAUAGACAUUUAGCAGUUAACGUGCCGUUUUCCUACAGUAAUUUGUCAUUUAAAUUUGUCAGUAUAUAGACAAAUGAGGAAUACUUUCCGUCCUUCCCAAUAACAUAGUAGGAUACGUCACUAAUUAUAUAGUCAAAUCACA